Molecule: ribosomal RNA, 724 nt
Filed under: Pseudanillus sp. CA96
Lineage: Eukaryota; Metazoa; Arthropoda; Insecta; Coleoptera; Carabidae
Description: partial large subunit ribosomal RNA
Rfam family: Bacterial large subunit ribosomal RNA (bases 320-479)
Source: RNAcentral
UUAAAUAGCUGCAGUAAUUAUCAAUAGUUUUUUAAUUAAAAGCUUGUAUGAAUGGUUNGACGAGAUAAAAUCUGUCUUUAUUUAAUUAUAAUAUAAUUUAAUUUUUAAGUAAAAAAGCUUAAAUAAUAAUAAAAGACGAGAAGACCCUAUAGAGUUUUAUAUAAUUAAAUUAAUAAUUUAUUAAGAUUUUUUAUAAUUAUUUAUUUAAUUAUAUUUUAUUGGGGUAAUAGAAAGAUUAAAAAAAUUCUUUAUUUUUUAAUAUAUUUAUUUAUAUAUAAUUGAUCCAUUAUUAAUGAAUAUAAGAUUAAAUUACCUUAGGGAUAACAGCGUAAUUUUUUUAGAGAGUUCAUAUUGAUAAAAAAGUUUGCGACCUCGAUGUUGGAUUAAAGAUUAUUUUAGGUGCAAAAAUUUAAUAAAUUUGGUCUGUUCGACCAUUAAAUCUUUACAUGAUCUGAGUUUAAACCGGUGUAAGCCAGGUUGGUUUCUAUCUUUAUUUAAUUAUAAUAUUUUAGUACGAAAGGACCAAAUAUUAAUUAUAAUAAUUAUAUUUUGAAUAUUAUUGUUAUUUUGGCAGAAAAGUGUAUUGAGUUUAGAAUUCAAAUAUGUAAUUUUAUUACAAAUAAUAUUUGUAUAUAAAUGANUUAAUUUUUAUAGUUAUUAAUUUAUUAGUAUUAAUUAUUUGUGUAUUAAUUAGAGUAGCUUUUUUAACUUUAUUAGAACGAAA